Molecule: small nucleolar RNA, 125 nt
Filed under: Echinops telfairi (small Madagascar hedgehog)
Lineage: Eukaryota; Metazoa; Chordata; Mammalia; Afrosoricida; Tenrecidae
Description: Small nucleolar RNA SNORA61 (ENSETEG00000026435.1)
Source: RNAcentral
ACUCCUCAGACUCCUUACCGGUCAGAUCUGAACAUUGGUCUGAGCAGCUACAAAAGGAGGAAAAGAGAAAGGCAAACAGACUUGGAUUAUUUGGUGAUACAGGACUUGCUCUGGAACAAACCCAC